UUGAGGCUCAUCGGGAAUUAACAGGACUUCACUGGAACCCAGAUGCUGAGCGUCUCUUGAUCUUUGGGGCUGCGGCAGAACAGCUGCUGGCAUGACACAACGGCAAUUCUUGCAGCUACCCUGAUGAAAUCCUUGAGCAAAUUAAGUCAGCCAACAAACUCCUUCCCCGGUGCCGAGCUGCCAGAGACCAUCAGGUUGGUCCUCUUAACUAUGUGGUGCCACUGAGCUGUCAUCAGCACCUCCCUGGAGCAAAUGAGAACAGGUGUGAAAGAUGGAAGCACCAGCUGCAGUAACCCUGCCAGAAAGUCAGCCGGUAUCUCGUAGCUAUCGAUUGACUCGGAAUCAGGGAGAUGUCUGACAACAGGUGCUGGCAACCAGCAAUGCCUCCUAACUCACCUUCCAAGGGCAGGCCUGGAAAACAAUCUUUCCAAGGUGCUGCAAGCACUGAUCAAUAAA
Molecule: long non-coding RNA, 456 nt
Organism: Mauremys reevesii (Reeves's turtle)
Lineage: Eukaryota; Metazoa; Chordata; Testudines; Geoemydidae
Exons: 3
Source: RefSeq, a predicted model, not a curated record